RNAcentral lists this ribosomal RNA (467 nucleotides) under uncultured bacterium. RNAcentral describes it as "partial 16S ribosomal RNA". It matches the Rfam family "Bacterial small subunit ribosomal RNA", at positions 29 to 507 of the family's 1533-position model. The record is from RNAcentral.
ACGAACGCUGGCGACGUGCUUAACACAUGCAAGUCGAACGGAAAGGCCCUGCUUUUGUGGGGUGCUCGAGCGGCGAACGGGUGAGUAACACGUGAGUAACCUGCCCUUGACUUUGGGAUAACUUCAGGAAACUGGGGCUAAUACCGGAUAGGAGCUCCUGCUGCAUGGUGGGGGUUGGAAAGUUUCGGCGGUUGGGGAUGGACUCGCGGCUUAUCAGCUUGUUGGUGGGGUAGUGGCUUACCAAGGCUUUGACGGGUAGCCGGCCUGAGAGGGUGACCGGCCACAUUGGGACUGAGAUACGGCCCAGACUCCUACGGGAGGCAGCAGUGGGGAAUAUUGCACAAUGGGCGGAAGCCUGAUGCAGCAACGCCGCGUGCGGGAUGACGGCCUUCGGGUUGUAAACCGCUUUCGCCUGUGACGAAGCGUGAGUGACGGUAAUGGGUAAAGAAGCACCGGCUAACUACGUG